AAAUAGAACUUUGCAGAGAGAGUUAACAGGGCGUGAAACCGUUGAUUGGCAAACGAAUCGGAGCCACGAAGUCGUUUCGUCGUUUAGCCCCAGGCCAGGCUCAGCCGGCGUCGAGAGGCGCCGGUGUAGUCCUGGGCCGGGCCAGACUUUGUAAGCGUACACUGCAACCAGUUAGACGAUCAGCCGUGGGCACAGCGGGCGCCGUUGGCCAGUAGUAGUGCGGUUGCGCUUCGGCGCUGCUCGUGUUGCUGGGCCAGCGUGAGUGAACUACGGCUGAAUACUGACUGGCGAAAUGAAAAUCGCCCCCCUGCGGGCGUUAGAGACAACGCGGCCAGCCGGAUGCCGGUCCACGCGUGCGACUGUCAGGUCUAAGCUUGGCGCUCUCGAAUUCAGACUUGCCUGCUACCAGCGGGGCAACCCACUGGUGCUGGUACAGCUUCUGUCUAAUCGGGCGUCGACUUGGCCUGGCAUGGAUCGGGCGCGCUACGGUGGGGCCGGCAUGCGAGUUGGCUCGCCAUGUUGAUUGGCAGUGAGUAGGUCGGCUUUCCGAACGACCCGUCUUGAAACACGGACCAAGGAGUCUAAUUAGGCAUCGAGUCGAUCGGUCUUGCAUAGGCCAGACUGGUGUUCGAACGCCGAGAAGGCGCAGAGAAUCGUGUGAUCGGGCCGGCAACAACAGCCGCCGCGCGCAACAUGUGCCUGUUCGUAUGGCAAUGUGCAACAUUGCCGGGCGGAGCAGAGAGAUGCCUGAUUGGGACCCGAAAGAUGGUGAUGCUUGGGCAAAUUGAAGCCAGAGGAAACUCUGGUGGAGGAUUUAGUCUGACGUGCAAAUCGAUCGUCAGACCUGAGUAUAGGGGCGAAAGACUAAUCGAACCAUC
This 878-nucleotide ribosomal RNA is filed under the name Tegolophus sp. KK3. RNAcentral's name for it is "partial large subunit ribosomal RNA". It matches the Rfam family "Eukaryotic large subunit ribosomal RNA", at positions 366 to 944 of the family's 3401-position model. The record is from RNAcentral. Lineage: Eukaryota; Metazoa; Arthropoda; Arachnida; Trombidiformes; Eriophyidae.